AGUGGGUGUAACGUACCUACUAGCCUACGACGGGUACGGGUUGUGAGAGCAAGAGCCCGGAGAUGGAUUCUGAGACACGAAUCCAGGCCCUACGGGGUGCAGCAGGCGCGAAAACUUUACAAUGCGGGAAACCGUGAUAAGGGAAUCUCGAGUGCCAGCAUAUAAUGUUGGCUAUCCAGAUGCCUAAAAAGCAUCUGUUAGCAAGGGCCGGGCAAGACCGGUGCCAGCCGCCGCGGUAACACCGGCGGCCCGAGUGGUAACCGUUAUUAUUGGGUCUAAAGGGUCUGUAGCCGGCCAUGUAAGUCCCUUGGGAAAUCUGGCAGCUCAACUGUCAGGCUGCUAGGGGAUACUGCUUGGCUUGGGACCGGGAGAGGUGAGAGGUACCUUGAGGGUAGGGGUGAAAUCUUGUGAUCCUCGGGGGACCACCAGUGGCGAAGGCGUCUCACCAGAACGGAUCCGACGGUAAGGGACGAAAGCUAGGGGCACGAACCGGAUUAGAU
RNAcentral lists this ribosomal RNA (500 nucleotides) under uncultured microorganism. RNAcentral's name for it is "bacterial SSU rRNA". It matches the Rfam family "Archaeal small subunit ribosomal RNA", at positions 234 to 734 of the family's 1478-position model. The record is from RNAcentral.